UGUGAAGCGGGAAGGUGGAGACGUUAAGGGGAUCCUGGCCACGGUAUCGAGGUCUAACCGGGGGUCUAACCGUAGUAUGACUGGGUUCCCACAGAGCUCCCGUGUCCUCUGUGCAACAGGAGAAGGAUGCACAGGGGUCGGACGGAGCAGGUGAAAUGUGACCACGACCCCUCCCCGCGCACAGCGGACACUGCAGGUAAAGAAGGACAAUGGUGGCCGAUGAUCGCGGCUUGGAGUGGAACGCGUUCCAGAGGACGUCCACAGCGGAGAUGGGGCGACGGAGAGAGCCCGUGACUGAGCUGUGAAUCCACGUGUGGAGUCUGUGCCAAGGGCCCCAUCUAGAGGCGCACGGAGGUCAUUGCCAAUGUGAUGCUUGAUGCGAUACGCGGAAUGUGGUGUGUGAAACUAAACUAUUUGAUAUUUUACCAGGUAAGGCCCACGGAGCUAAAUAGCUCUUUUUCAGAAGCGACCUGGCCUCAAAUGGUAGCUCAACAGAGGCGGUGGAAUUUCAUAGCAGCCAAAUAUCCUAAAUGUGGAGGGAAACAUCUGAGGACCCGGAGGACAAAUCCGCGUGAGCACUGUGAGAGAGAACGUGCAAACUCAAAUAUACAGCAGGUGUCAGCUUCGGGAUGGAACCCACGAGCACCUGUAUACCAGGCGAGGUAGUUAACAUUUCACAACCGUGGCCAAAGGUGGCCGGUUGCGGCCUUUGUAGGUGCUACUUGCCAGCAGCACUUGGGCCUAACAGUCUUAAGGCUAUACAGGGGAUCUUUGUUUUGACCUGCAGUGUGGUGGUCGAGUGGGCGGUUGUUGUGGUGGACAAACGCGGCGCGAUCGACACCAGCGUCGCGCUGACCGAGUCCUCGACAUGGGAGGAGGAAUUGAGCGAAGUUAACGGGAGCCGUAUUCGUGGUAGUAGCCAUUGUCGAGUAACGAGGCGACUAACCGCCAAUGUUUGAAAAUAAAACGGCUUGAGUACGA
Molecule: long non-coding RNA, 981 nt
Organism: Lethenteron reissneri (Far Eastern brook lamprey)
Lineage: Eukaryota; Metazoa; Chordata; Hyperoartia; Petromyzontiformes; Petromyzontidae
Source: RefSeq, a predicted model, not a curated record